AAAGGUACAUACUACACAUCAUAUAGAAAAAUCCUCUUUGAUCGUCAGGAUCACUAUGUUCCUUCCAAUCGCUCUUUCUUCUUUUCUCUCAAAGGUCAAGAUUCAACACGUAUGGAGGAGUAAGAAAUCCUCCAAUUUAAGGGACUUUCAGGGGCUUCAACUUAACGAAAAUAUACGCGCUAGCGAGCUAGAUGGCGCUGCAGUCAAGUACACCUUUUCUCGAAGGGAGAAGGGCUACGAGGUCGAUCGUCUUUUGUCUUAAGCCGCUCUAUAUUAAUGUGAAGAACAUGCCAUGUCGAAGCAGGUUACCGUGGGAGGAUGGCCGUGGACGGUUAGGCGUGGAAAAGAGGGCUGUCAGCACGUAGAAUACUAAACAGCAGCGAACCUGAGGCUGCAUAGGUGGCGCUAGUCUCAUUCGACCAAGCCUUUGCAUUUUAACUGCCUUUCAAGCUCGAGAAAAGACCUCGUGCAGAUUUUUGGCAGACAGUAACUUUGGAUAGCUACUCUGUACAUGUGUUUGUUGCGAAAGAAACAGAAUUAUGAUCUCUUGAAGGAAGAUACAUAGUGUCAGGUGUUGAGGAGACACAAUAAUUUUUAAAUCUUAAAUCGGAAUUAAUAUCGGAGGAAGGCAUUGAAGAACGACAUCGGAUGAAGCAACGAUGAGUAAAUACCAACGAAUUCGGUUGGAUGGCUCAUUAAUUUUCGAUGAGAGUAGAGGAAUCACAUACGUGACAUGCAUGAACACAUUUUUCACGCUUUUCUCCAAACACCAGGCGGUAUUUGAGAAAGUGUUUUCUUUGAAAAAUUGAAAGAGGCAAACCUUGUCCACUGAAGGCUUUAAUAAUAAAUUUAAGUAUCUCCAAGAGAGUUAAAUCUUUUGGUUCAACCCUUUGAAAACAUUGAUGUGUUAAAAGUGAUUACCUAUAUCGGCCAUCGAGAAGAAAAACAUUACACGCCAAGAGAUCAUCCUGAUACGAUUUACAUGAAACGUUAUGGAUGUUAUCUAUAAGUCGUGAUUUUGAACGUCCAUUAACCUUAGGUGUUUAAAAAAGCGCGAUAAAUGAUGGAAGAGCGGUUAUAGCCUGAUUUGGCGGAAAGGGAGGUGUAUUUGUUCGGCGAGAGUAAACAAUCCGUCUAGAGACCCAUUUCCGCUUGAUCGAAAAUAGUCGCACGGAGAAAGGGUUGCGAUGGAAAACCACAAUAAUCGAUUUUUUAGGUUUACAAGAGAGCAACAAGAAUAAUGAAAGAAUAUUAUAAAAAUAAGACACAAUUAGCAAAGAUUCUAAUUUAAGAGAGACAGGAUAUAAUGAAAUCAUAUAGGAAAACCAAAAAACCGCAAACAUCUAAAAAGAAAAGUAAAAUAAUGAUGAGGAUAAUCCAUAUCCUGUUGAUAUCGAAUUUUGCCUUUAUUUCAGUUCAGAGUAUCCGUUGGCCAAAUUAGGACAAUCUUGGAUAUCAAAUAUUUGUGACUAAAAGCCGAAAAUAUUCCGUCCUAAAUAUUCACAAUUUAGGAAUCACGUUAACCCGAAAAAAAUUAGUUUUCCCUUUUGAAACACAUGGUUAAUAAGCCGACCAACCGUCCAUGAAGAAUAUUCUUGGUGAAGUUGAAUUCCAUUUGCCGGAAGUCUGUCGGUUCCGCCACUCUUUUCAUAUAAAAUCAGGCUUUUAUUCCAUCGAAAGCUGGAGAAAAUGAAGAAAAAAGAGAAAGAGAAAAGAGAAACGAAGCUGAACUUUCGCUGAAAUCCGAUAGCAACGUCAAAGACAAUGUUUUUCAUUCUUGAAACACGCACAAUUACAUCAGAAAUAUAAUUAUAAUCGAUUGCGUAAUCUGAUCAUCCUCGAGUCGAAUGCCAGUGCACGCAUGACUCAAAUCGUUUAUUUUUGAGCUUCGUUGCGUUUUGAUAAGAAAAAUGUACAAUGAUGUUUUGGAAAUCUCGUUCCUCUUAGCAGAACUCAGAAAUUUUCAAUUUUAUGUGAUU
Molecule: long non-coding RNA, 1979 nt
Filed under: Apis dorsata (giant honeybee)
Lineage: Eukaryota; Metazoa; Arthropoda; Insecta; Hymenoptera; Apidae
Description: uncharacterized LOC102672181, transcript variant X2
Source: RNAcentral